GCCGGCAUAGCACAGCGGUAGUGCAGCUGAUUUGUAAUCAGCAGGUCGUCGGUUCGAAUCCGACUGUCGGCU
Molecule: transfer RNA, 72 nt
Filed under: Candidatus Xiphinematobacter sp. Idaho Grape
Lineage: Bacteria; Pseudomonadati; Verrucomicrobiota; Spartobacteria
Rfam family: tRNA
About the family: Transfer RNA (tRNA) molecules are approximately 80 nucleotides in length. Their secondary structure includes four short double-helical elements and three loops (D, anti-codon, and T loops).
Source: Rfam by way of RNAcentral